UACGGAGGGGGCUAGCGUUGUUCGGAAUUACUGGGCGUAAAGCGCGCGUAGGCGGACCUGCAAGUCGGGGGUGAAAUCCCGGGGCUCAACCUCGGAACUGCCUUUGAUACUGCAAAUCUCGAGUCCGGAAGAGGUGAGUGGAAUUCCUAGUGUAGAGGUGAAAUUCGUAGAUAUUAGGAAGAACACCAGUGGCGAAGGCGGCUCACUGGUCCGGUACUGACGCUGAGGUGCGAAAGCGUGGGGAGCAAACAGG
RNAcentral lists this ribosomal RNA (253 nucleotides) under uncultured bacterium. RNAcentral's name for it is "partial 16S ribosomal RNA". It matches the Rfam family "Bacterial small subunit ribosomal RNA", at positions 524 to 776 of the family's 1533-position model. The record is from RNAcentral.